CGGUUGCUAAUACUCCAUAUGCCGAGAGGUGAAAGAAUUUAUUUGCCUAAGGAGGAGCUCGCGUCUGAUUAGCUAGUUGGUAGGGUAAUGGCCUACCAAGGCGACGAUCAGUAGCUGGUUUGAGAGGAUGAUCAGCCACACUGGGACUGAGACACGGCCCAGACUCCUACGGGAGGCAGCAGUAGGGAAUUUUCCGCAAUGGGCGAAAGCCUGACGGAGCAAUACCGCGUGAGGGAUGACGGCCUGUGGGUUGUAAACCUCUUUUCUCAAGGAAGAAGUUCUGACGGUACUUGAGGAAUAAGCAUCGGCUAACUCUGUGCCAGCAGCCGCGGUAAUACAGAGGAUGCAAGCGUUAUCCGGAAUCACUGGGCAUAAAGCGUCUGUAGGUGGUUUGGUAAGUCUGCUGUUAAAGACUGGGGCUCAACCCCAGAAAAGCAGUGGAAACUGCCAGACUUGAGUGUGGUAGAGGUAGAGGGAAUUCCUAGUGUAGCGGUGAAAUGCGUAGAUAUUAGGAAGAACACCAAUGGCGAAGGCACUCUGCUGGACCAUAACUGACACUGAGAGACGACAGCUAGGGGAGC
Molecule: ribosomal RNA, 581 nt
Filed under: uncultured eukaryote
Lineage: Eukaryota
Description: bacterial SSU rRNA
Rfam family: Bacterial small subunit ribosomal RNA
Source: RNAcentral